GGUUAAGCGACUAAGCGUACACGGUGGAUGCCCUGGCAGUCAGAGGCGAUGAAGGACGUGCUAAUCUGCGAUAAGCGUCGGUAAGGUGAUAUGAACCGUUAUAACCGGCGAUUUCCGAAUGGGGAAACCCAGUGUGAUUCGUCACACUAUCAUUAACUGAAUCCAUAGGUUAAUGAGGCGAACCGGGGGAACUGAAACAUCUAAGUACCCCGAGGAAAAGAAAUCAACCGAGAUUCCCCCAGUAGCGGCGAGCGAACGGGGAGGAGCCCAGAGCCUGAAUCAGUGUGUGUGUUAGUGGAAGCGUCUGGAAAGGCGCGCGAUACAGGGUGACAGCCCCGUACACAAAAAUGCACAUGCUGUGAGCUCGAUGAGUAGGGCGGGACACGUGGUAUCCUGUCUGAAUAUGGGGGGACCAUCCUCCAAGGCUAAAUACUCCUGACUGACCGAUAGUGAACCAGUACCGUGAGGGAAAGGCGAAAAGAACCCCGGCGAGGGGAGUGAAAAAGAACCUGAAACCGUGUACGUACAAGCAGUGGGAGCACGCUUAGGCGUGUGACUGCGUACCUUUUGUAUAAUGGGUCAGCGACUUAUAUUCUGUAGCAAGGUUAACCGAAUAGGGGAGCCGAAGGGAAACCGAGUCUUAACUGGGCGUUAAGUUGCAGGGUAUAGACCCGAAACCCGGUGAUCUAGCCAUGGGCAGGUUGAAGGUUGGGUAACACUAACUGGAGGACCGAACCGACUAAUGUUGAAAAAUUAGCGGAUGACUUGUGGCUGGGGGUGAAAGGCCAAUCAAACCGGGAGAUAGCUGGUUCUCCCCGAAAGCUAUUUAGGUAGCGCCUCGUGAAUUCAUCUCCGGGGGUAGAGCACUGUUUCGGCAAGGGGGUCAUCCCGACUUACCAACCCGAUGCAAACUGCGAAUACCGGAGAAUGUUAUCACGGGAGACACACGGCGGGUGCUAACGUCCGUCGUGAAGAGGGAAACAACCCAGACCGCCAGCUAAGGUCCCAAAGUCAUGGUUAAGUGGGAAACGAUGUGGGAAGGCCCAGACAGCCAGGAUGUUGGCUUAGAAGCAGCCAUCAUUUAAAGAAAGCGUAAUAGCUCACUGGUCGAGUCGGCCUGCGCGGAAGAUGUAACGGGGCUAAAUCAUGCACCGAAGCUGCGGCAGCGACGCUGAUGCGUUGUUGGGUAGGGGAGCGUUCUGUAAGCCUGUGAAGGUGUACUGUGAGGUAUGCUGGAGGUAUCAGAAGUGCGAAUGCUGACAUAAGUAACGAUAAAGCGGGUGAAAAGCCCGCUCGCCGGAAGACCAAGGGUUCCUGUCCAACGUUAAUCGGGGCAGGGUGAGUCGACCCCUAAGGCGAGGCCGAAAGGCGUAGUCGAUGGGAAACAGGUUAAUAUUCCUGUACUUGGUGUUACUGCGAAGGGGGGACGGAGAAGGCUAUGUUGGCCGGGCGACGGUUGUCCCGGUUUAAGCGUGUAGGCUGGUUUUCCAGGCAAAUCCGGAAAAUCAAGGCUGAGGCGUGAUGACGAGGCACUACGGUGCUGAAGCAACAAAUGCCCUGCUUCCAGGAAAAGCCUCUAAGCAUCAGGUAACAUCAAAUCGUACCCCAAACCGACACAGGUGGUCAGGUAGAGAAUACCAAGGCGCUUGAGAGAACUCGGGUGAAGGAACUAGGCAAAAUGGUGCCGUAACUUCGGGAGAAGGCACGCUGAUAUGUAGGUGAAGUCCCUCGCGGAUGGAGCUGAAAUCAGUCGAAGAUACCAGCUGGCUGCAACUGUUUAUUAAAAACACAGCACUGUGCAAACACGAAAGUGGACGUAUACGGUGUGACGCCUGCCCGGUGCCGGAAGGUUAAUUGAUGGGGUUAGCGCAAGCGAAGCUCUUGAUCGAAGCCCCGGUAAACGGCGGCCGUAACUAUAACGGUCCUAAGGUAGCGAAAUUCCUUGUCGGGUAAGUUCCGACCUGCACGAAUGGCGUAAUGAUGGCCAGGCUGUCUCCACCCGAGACUCAGUGAAAUUGAACUCGCUGUGAAGAUGCAGUGUACCCGCGGCAAGACGGAAAGACCCCGUGAACCUUUACUAUAGCUUGACACUGAACAUUGAGCCUUGAUGUGUAGGAUAGGUGGGAGGCUUGGAAGUGUGGACGCCAGUCUGCAUGGAGCCGACCUUGAAAUACCACCCUUUAAUGUUUGAUGUUCUAACGUUGACCCGUAAUCCGGGUUGCGGACAGUGUCUGGUGGGUAGUUUGACUGGGGCGGUCUCCUCCUAAAGAGUAACGGAGGAGCACGAAGGUUGGCUAAUCCUGGUCGGACAUCAGGAGGUUAGUGCAAUGGCAUAAGCCAGCUUGACUGCGAGCGUGACGGCGCGAGCAGGUGCGAAAGCAGGUCAUAGUGAUCCGGUGGUUCUGAAUGGAAGGGCCAUCGCUCAACGGAUAAAAGGUACUCCGGGGAUAACAGGCUGAUACCGCCCAAGAGUUCAUAUCGACGGCGGUGUUUGGCACCUCGAUGUCGGCUCAUCACAUCCUGGGGCUGAAGUAGGUCCCAAGGGUAUGGCUGUUCGCCAUUUAAAGUGGUACGCGAGCUGGGUUUAGAACGUCGUGAGACAGUUCGGUCCCUAUCUGCCGUGGGCGCUGGAGAACUGAGGGGGGCUGCUCCUAGUACGAGAGGACCGGAGUGGACGCAUCACUGGUGUUCGGGUUGUCAUGCCAAUGGCACUGCCCGGUAGCUAAAUGCGGAAGAGAUAAGUGCUGAAAGCAUCUAAGCACGAAACUUGCCCCGAGAUGAGUUCUCCCUGACUCCUUGAGAGUCCUGAAGGAACGUUGAAGACGACGACGUUGAUAGGCCGGGUGUGUAAGCGCAGCGAUGCGUUGAGCUAACCGGUACUAAUGAACCGUGAGGCUUAACCUU
This 2904-nucleotide ribosomal RNA is filed under the name Escherichia coli. RNAcentral's name for it is "23S ribosomal RNA". It matches the Rfam family "Bacterial large subunit ribosomal RNA". Lineage: Bacteria; Pseudomonadati; Pseudomonadota; Gammaproteobacteria; Enterobacterales; Enterobacteriaceae. The record is from RNAcentral.